AGUCCCAUGGGAUAUUUGUUGUCCCAUGGGACAAAAAAAAUCCCAUGGGACAAAAAAAAUCCCAUGGGAUU
RNAcentral lists this small RNA (71 nucleotides) under Mytilus galloprovincialis (Mediterranean mussel). The record is from RNAcentral. Lineage: Eukaryota; Metazoa; Mollusca; Bivalvia; Mytilida; Mytilidae.